GUGGGGAAUAUUGGGCAAUGGGGGAAACCCUGACCCAGCGACGCCGCGUGAGGGAAGAAGGCCUUAGGGUCGUAAACCUCUGUUGUGUGGGAAGAAGAGCGUGACGGUACCACACGAGGAAGUCCCGGCUAACUACGUGCCAGCAGCCGCGGUAAUACGUAGGGGACGAGCGUUGUCCGGAUUUACUGGGCGUAAAGGGCGCGUAGGCGGUCAUUUAAGUCAGCUGUGAAAUGGUUUGGCUUAACCGGAUCAUGCGGUUGAAACUGGAUGACUGGAGUGCUGGAGAGGAAAGUGGAAUUCCCAGUGUAGCGGUGAAAUGCGUAGAUAUUGGGAAGAACACCGGUGGCGAAGGCGACUUGCUGGCCAGUAACUGACGCUGAGGCGCGAAAGCCAGGGGAGCAAACGGGAUUAGAUACCCGGGUAGUCC
RNAcentral lists this ribosomal RNA (427 nucleotides) under uncultured bacterium. RNAcentral describes it as "partial 16S ribosomal RNA". It matches the Rfam family "Bacterial small subunit ribosomal RNA", at positions 354 to 796 of the family's 1533-position model. The record is from RNAcentral.